AACCAAGGAGUGCAACAUGCGUGUGAGUCUCCCGGGUGGCAAACCCGUGGGCGCAAUGAAAGUGAAGGCGGUGCGUUGGCCCGCUGUGGCGAGAGCCCUCGACUCUUCGGAGGCGUGGGGCGCAUCGUCGACCGUUCCCAGGUCACGCUGUGGCGGGAUACGAGUGAGAGCGUGCCUGUUGCGACCCGAAAGAUGGUGAACUAUGCCUGAAUAGGGUGAAGCCAGAAGAAAUUCUGGUGGAAGCCCGCAGCGAUUCUGACGUGCAAAUCGAUCGUCAAAUUUGGGUAUAGGGGCGAAAGACUAAUCGAACCAUCUAGUAGCUGGUUCCCUCCGAAGUUUCCCUCAGGAUAGCUGGAGCCCGGUGCAGUUUUAUCAGGUAAAGCGAAUGAUUAGAGGUCUUGGGGCUGAAACAGCCUCAACCUAUUCUCAAACUUUAAAUGGGUAAGAAGCCCGGCUUGCUCGGUUGAAGUCGGGCGCAGAAUGCCGGGGCUCCCAGUGGGCCAUUUUUGGUAAGCAGAACUGGCGAUGUGGGAUGAACCAAAUGCCGGGUUAAGGUGCCCGAAUCGACGCUCAUCAGAUCCCAUGAAAGGUGUUGGUUGAUACCUGGACAGCAGGACGGUGGCCAUGGAAGUCGGAAU
Molecule: ribosomal RNA, 638 nt
Filed under: Clathria armata
Lineage: Eukaryota; Metazoa; Porifera; Demospongiae; Poecilosclerida; Microcionidae
Description: eukaryotic LSU rRNA
Rfam family: Eukaryotic large subunit ribosomal RNA
Source: RNAcentral